CCUGGAGAAAAGGUGACAGGACAGCCCCGUGGGCCCCCAGGGGGACUGGGAGGUGCCGUAGCCCCUCUGAAUCAACGCCCAGCCCCUGCUGUGUCACGGCCCACCCCAUGAGAUGUGGAGUGUGAUGCCUCUCCUCCCUCCGCAACAGGCCUGUCUGCUCUCCCUGUCCCGCCCCCCGCCCCCCCUCCCCGGCAGACUGCCACUCCUUCCGGCCCCCGGCCUCUGCCCCUCUUCUCACAAUUCAGGCAAUCGCCCCUGCAGCCCACAGGCUCCAUAAGAUCCCGACGUGUCUCUAGCCGGGGCAGCUGAGCCCAGGAGUUGAUGCUCAGACUGAAUCAGACCCAAGUCCAGAGGACUUUGCUGGUGGGUUUUUUCCACACUACUCCCAGCUCGAAACCCUUCCCUGUUACUGAAACCAGCAAAUGUUUGCUACCAGAUGCUGGGAGGUCUGCUGCUGAACCACCCAGGGCACCUUUUCAGCACUAAGACACUUGCAAAGCAAAUAGGGAAGAAGCCCCAGUAAGCCCAAGCCCUGUAUCCAGCAGCUGCCCACAGGACACCACCCGCGGGGAUGACCAACUGGAAUCUCAAGUCCAAAACCAGGCUCCGGAUUUCUUCUGCCUUCACCGUCGCGGCCACGGCAUCACCUGUCGCCUUACUCCUCGAGCCCAUAAACAUUUUAAAAUAAUUGCA
This is a long non-coding RNA of Felis catus (domestic cat), 693 nucleotides long. RefSeq lists it as uncharacterized. The transcript has 2 exons. The record is from RefSeq and is a predicted model, not a curated record. Lineage: Eukaryota; Metazoa; Chordata; Mammalia; Carnivora; Felidae.